RNAcentral lists this ribosomal RNA (238 nucleotides) under uncultured eukaryote. RNAcentral describes it as "partial 18S ribosomal RNA". It matches the Rfam family "Eukaryotic small subunit ribosomal RNA", at positions 615 to 860 of the family's 1831-position model. The record is from RNAcentral.
GCGGUUAAGCUCGUAGUUGGAUUUCUGCCGAGGACGACCGGUCCGCCCUCAGGGUGAGCAUCUGGAUCGGCCUGGGCAUCCUCUUGGGGAACGUAGCUGCUCUUGACUGCGUGGUGCGGUAUCCAGGACUUUUACUUUGAGGAAAUUAGAGUGUUUCAAGCAGGCUCACGCCUUGAAUACAUUAGCAUGGAAUAAUAAAAUAGGACCUUGGUUCUAUUUUGUUGGUUUCUAGAGCUGA